AACGAACGCUGGCGGCAUGCCUAACACAUGCAAGUCGAACGGGAUCCUAGCUUGCUAGGUGAGAGUGGCGGACGGGUGAGUAACACGUGGGAAUCUGCCUUUUGGUUCGGGAUAACCGCGGGAAACUGCGGCUAAUACCGAAUGCCCUCGAGAGAGGAAAGAUUUAUCGCCAGAAGAGGAGCCCGCGUCCGAUUAGGUAGUUGGUGGGGUAAAGGCCUACCAAGCCGACGAUCGGUAGCUGGUCUGAGAGGAUGAUCAGCCACACUGGGACUGAGAUACGGCCCAGACUCCUACGGGAGGCAGCAGUGGGGAAUAUUGGACAAUGGGGGCAACCCUGAUCCAGCAAUGCCGCGUGAGUGAUGAAGGCCUUAGGGUUGUAAAGCUCUUUUGUCCAGGGAAGAAUGAUGACUGUACCUGGAGAAUAAGCCCCGGCUAACUUCGUGCCAGCAGCCGCGGUAAU
This 460-nucleotide ribosomal RNA is filed under the name uncultured bacterium. RNAcentral describes it as "bacterial SSU rRNA". It matches the Rfam family "Bacterial small subunit ribosomal RNA", at positions 29 to 524 of the family's 1533-position model. The record is from RNAcentral.